GACGAAUCAACUGAUCGCCAGGAACGGAAAUCAGUUGACCCAGAUACAGUAUGAAGUGGACAAAAGAAAGAAGGUGCAUGUAAUGUAAAAGAGGGGUGUGGAUAGUCUAUGAGAU
This 115-nucleotide small RNA is filed under the name Caenorhabditis elegans. RNAcentral describes it as "Unclassified non-coding RNA F22D6.19". Lineage: Eukaryota; Metazoa; Nematoda; Chromadorea; Rhabditida; Rhabditidae. The record is from RNAcentral.